AAAGAAUACACCACGAGGACCAUUUGACUGUCCCCUCUGGCUCCUGCAUCUUGCUUCCAGCAUGAACAGACAGGUUUCAUUUGAGAGGAUCUGGCCCAGUGUUUUUGAAAGUUGGCUCACAGAACAGAAGCUCUGGGAAGGGAGAUAUGGGGAAAAGAAAAAAAAUACUUGCUACUUUUAAAAAUGUACCUUUGAAAAAAGUAGAAGAAAAGGAUGCAAAGAUGAGGAAAAGGAUGGGUUUCAUUUCUACCUUCCAUGAAGUUUGAUUAUCAGUGAAAUGCAUAGUGAAGGAAUCACAAAACAAGAUAAAUGAUUUUAAAGACCACAACACAUGGAAUAAUUAUCUUGUUAUGAAGAAAAGUGGACCAAAUACCCACAACAGAAGAG
This 387-nucleotide long non-coding RNA is filed under the name Monodelphis domestica (gray short-tailed opossum). Its description in RNAcentral is "lncRNA (ENSMODG00000050522.1)". Lineage: Eukaryota; Metazoa; Chordata; Mammalia; Didelphimorphia; Didelphidae. The record is from RNAcentral.